This 2212-nucleotide long non-coding RNA is filed under the name Androctonus crassicauda. Lineage: Eukaryota; Metazoa; Arthropoda; Arachnida; Scorpiones; Buthidae. The record is from RNAcentral.
CUUGGAAUUUUCAAAGCAUUCAAAUAAAGCUUUAGAAAUUCUUGUUCGAUAUCUUGUCACUAAUCUGUAGGUUACUCUCUGCUCCAUCUAUGAUUGUUGAAGAGUUUCAGAACAUUGUCUGAUGACACCAAUAAUCAUCCCUCUCCAAUAUCUUGUUUUCAAGAAAGUCAUUCUGCUUCAAUGUCUUGUCUUCAAACAAGACUUUCUCAAUGUAUUUAUCCUUUAGAGUAAAUUUUAAUGAAUAUAUUUAUAUUUUUCUUUUCAUAGUUUCUUUCGUCCAUCAUCUUACAAUAGUUUUUUCUUUCUUUGUUUCUAGUAUAGUAUUCCUUUGAAUGAAACAAAAUCUAUAGGAAAUAUAAAGAAGAAAACAUAUUUUGACGGAAGUGAAGUUGAAUUUGAAUAAUAAUUGGAAAGAAAGGGCGGACUACAGUGCAUACAAGAUAGUUCAGUAGUUUGGUAAAAUUUAUCUUAGACAAAGUGACAUAUAAGGGAGAGGUUGCUGCGGCUUCUGUUGUGCCCUUCAGCAAAGAGUACACAGCGUAACUUACCUUGUCCAAUGGGAAUGAUUUAGAAGUGAAGUGCUAAUAUUCCGGUAGCAACCUUCCACUUCAUUAGUGGGUCCUAUAGCCCGGGGCCGAGACCCGGAAUAUGCAGGGACCACCCAUUCUAGCCCUCUGCAAACCUGUCUCCUGCUGGGAUGAUAUCCCAUCGGGUCUGCCUUUUUUCUUUUCUUGAAUUUUAAUUUAUUUGAUAUCCGUUGAUGCACGCGAAUAAAUUGAUUCGUAUGUAGACGUCUGGCGCCAUUUUUAAUGAACUUAUGCAGUCGUAAAUUGCUGCAGCAUAAUUAGAAACAGAAUGGGAAGGAGCUCAUUUUUUUAGAAAUUAGGUUAAGAAGGUUGGUCAGAACUUGACAUUUCUAUAAAUGGAGUAAUUAACGCUUUACGGUAUUCUGCCACCUCUAUUCUUUGUGCUAAUAGCCAAAUACCAGGUAGUGUAAAAUUCAAUUAGUUAUCUUUCAUACUAACAGAGAAGCUGUUGCUCUUUUAGGUGAAGAGCGUGACAAAAAAUGUUUUAAGAAUUAGAAUAGCUCAAACAGAUAAAAAAAAAAGAGAGAGAGAGAAGAAAGAAGCAUGAGUGAAAAAACAGCUAAAGAAUGUGUGAUUAUAGAAUAAAACUUUCCAGACUCCACCCUGCAUAUCCGGAAAUAGCACGUGUGUUGUUUCAUUUCUAAUCAGCAGCAACAGAAAUACUAGAUUGUUGACAUUGGCUGACUUUCAACCCUAUCAAACAGCUCUGCAUUCAUUUAUCUAUCCUAUCCACUUGACAGUUCUGAUUUUACGCUGGCCUCUUGUCAUUGUUGGAAAAUUCCUCUUUUUAUACGGGACGCGACACUCUAAAAAAGGAGCAGCACCAUUCAGUAAGGGCCGCGUCACGUGGCACGAAUGAGAUUACCCUGGUGUGGGUUCCGUGACGCAACUUCUUAAUCGACACUAAGUCAGCGUCUAUUUGGAGAUGUUAAAGAACCGAUAUUUGGGUCUGGGAGGCGCCUCUAUAGGAAUGCGGUGCGUAGGAAUAGUCUCCGGCUCCUCCCAAUUUUGCUGGAGCAGGAGUGGAUUAUCCGCUUUUAAGGCAUUAAUGCCACUCUAAUUAGGACAACUCCUUUGGAGAGGGAUAAAAAAUCGAGUCGGAUUCGCCUCAUAUAGCACGCUCAAUCAUCCAAAAUCCUCCAGCUGUACCUGAUUAGUCAUAAGAUUUCCGGCAGGUCGGGUCAACGUGGGAAUGACAUCCGGCCACUUACGUUAAAUGACGAAUGUUGCAACCCGCACGUGCUCUCUCUGAAACAUGGGCUCGAUCCGAAGGUCUGCCCCCUACUAAAUCAGCAACGAGAGAAAGGGGAUUUCAGGUACAACCCGUAUACGUUCGACCGCUUGAUGACCGCCGACAUGGAUAGAUUCUGCAGACUACACUAUAUUGAUAGAGACAACCCACGUGGGUCCUCUCAUUCCCCUACAUGUGUCAGUAAAGAUCUGACGGUCACUUUCUCUUGCACGAUGUUAUCUGUGACAAUACAGCUCGCUUGUAAUUUGUGUCAAUUCUCAUUUUUUCCCCCCCUUUCGGAUGGAACGUCACAGAUAAAAGUUAUCUUGAUCGAAUUCAGUCUUUUUUUUUUUUUCUCUCUCUCUCUCUCUUUCUAACUCUUUUUAUCAAAGCC